Molecule: small RNA, 77 nt
Filed under: Xanthomonas dyei pv. eucalypti
Lineage: Bacteria; Pseudomonadati; Pseudomonadota; Gammaproteobacteria; Lysobacterales; Lysobacteraceae
Also listed under: 1 other name
Description: sX9 sRNA
Rfam family: Xanthomonas sRNA sX9
Source: RNAcentral
AUGGACCACUCGUCCGCUCCGGCUCUGAAUGCACCGUCCACAACUGCCUGACGACGGCUCGCCACGUUCUGCCAGCG